This is a long non-coding RNA of Strigops habroptila (Kakapo), 4531 nucleotides long. RefSeq lists it as uncharacterized. NCBI's taxonomy places the organism in Eukaryota, Metazoa, Chordata, Aves, Psittaciformes, Psittacidae. The record is from RefSeq and is a predicted model, not a curated record. The transcript has 5 exons.
CCCCCAAAAAAACAGGGAAGAGAAAGAAAAAGAGGAAAAAAAAAAGGGGGUAAAAAAACCCCCCAAAAAAGACAACUUUUUGAGACUGGAAUUAAAAGCCGAGGUAGGAUUUAACUUUUUUCCUAAAAGAAUCUCUUUGCCUCCUGUGAUUUGAAGUGAGUUUCUUGAUUCUGUGCAUGCGAAGAGAACGUCCGUCUUGAGAAAGACAAGGAUGUGGCCGGGAAUUGGUCUUGAAUUAACAAAGUCAAACUUCCCAUCAGAUUAGGAAUUAGUUAAGCCCAGGACGCAGAACUACAGCUCAAGGAGGAACUUUUCAUUGCGUAACCAGUCGUAGAGCACCAGAGAAUCCCUAAAUCAAUGCAGAUUACUGUGCUGGAUUAUCUGUUAAAUAAAGCAGCAACAGAGCACUGAUUAUUAAUGGUUGUUUUGCAAAUACGAGCGCUGGAUUUCUUUUCUUUUUCUCCUUUUCCUUCUUUUUUUUUCCCUCCCCCCCAUCCCAUUCCCUCUCUUUUCUAUGCUUCAUUUUCUUCCCUGACAGAUAUAACUUGAUCUCAGGAUUAAAAAAGAAGGAUCUGGUGAUUUGGGAACUGCUUUCUUGCCGUUUUCUUUGGUUUUCUUCCCUAGUACCCCUAUCCAAAUGCUUGCUUUCUUCUUUUAACCCUUUGUCUAUUCCAUUCCUUUGAAUGGACUCCAGAUUCCAAGAUUGACGAUUUACAAAAAAUAUAUUACGUGUGUAUGAAACCGUGGGAGACUAAUCAGGGAACUUGAUUUUGCCUAAUUUAUCCUCUCUGCAAAUCCAUGCUGGUCCUUAUCCCUUUCCCUGGAUUCUCUAUCAACCUCUUCCUUGUGGAAACUGAGAUUUUCUUUUUUUAGCUGCUUUACUGUAGAAGGGAAUUUUGGGUCAAAUAGGGAAACAAGGUGCUUCCCACUCGCUUUCAAUGGUCAGACUGGUUGCCUUUAGAUGCCACCUGCAAAAUACAGCAACCGAUUUGGAAAGGGGUCUUGAUGGUGCAUAGAAGAACACAAAGAUCUUGUGAUGGAUUGUGAUGAUAUAAAGAUCAUUUACAAUCUCAGAAUGGUGAUUCCAAGGCGGGGGGGUGGGGGGGCGAGGGAGAAAGACUUCAUAAUAAUAAAGAGCAAAUGGGGGUGACAGCACCUGAACUGCUUUUGAAAGGAGCAAUUCUGGCGUUGCUACUUCAUGCAAACCCUCUUGUGAGAGACAGAGGCAAAGAGCUGCCUUCUGACCUGUGCUGGACCCGCUCGUUUCGCUCGUGUGCUCAUGGGGGUCUUUACAAAAAGCAAAAGGACAAAAAGAAAGAGGCAGAAGAAACUGUCCCUGGCAGCUUGGCCGGGGCAAGGCUGUAGCUCUGGGUGUAACGUGAAAGACAUCUGCUCAUUUGAUGACUUUAAAUGAAUAAACAAGGUAUUUCCCUCCCUCCUCACCCACAGCCCUGUAAUUCAGAAUAAUUUAGUGCAUGUCUUAACUCCCUAUAAUGAUCUGCUUUGGGAAAGCUGGAGGAAAACCUCCUUUCUGUCUUCCCUUCAGGGUUCAUCUAGGUGCUGCUAUUGUUCCUGGCGCUGCUCCCGCAGCCCACGCCGGCGGUCGCACGGGCGUAGGGAAGUUCUUACAAGCUCUUGUUUUAUUCUCUGGUGCCUUGCUGUUCCUCCUUGCCCUUGGAGGUGGCACUCUCCUGGCCUGGUUGCUUGUCCCCAGCCAGAGUGGGAUAUUACAGAUGACAGGGCAACAGAACUGGCUCCAGAAGCAUCCAAGCCUUGGCGCAUGGAAGGGGAAAGAGCAUCCUCCAUGGAAAGGGAGAACAUCCUCUAUGGAUGCUAGCACCCUGAGCACCUCAUAGGAUGGAGUUGGACAACCUUGGCUUUGGUGGCACCAGGAGGUCACCGCAGGGAGCUCUCCUCAUUCAUCCCUCCGAGGCAGGGCAAGCUAGGAGGAGAAUGGUUGCUGAUUGAACUGGUGCUCACCAGGCUCAUGGACUGGGAGGUGGCUUUGGGUGGACCCUGGCAUUGAUCCCUCCUGCGAAGGGGUUUGGUGGCUCACCCAGGGACAGGGGACUUUUAUUCCUGAGUGAGCACUGGUGAGCCGCCAUGUGCCAUCCACCAUUGGCCAGUGUCUUGGUUUGAGGCGGGGGGAAGAAAGCGUCUUUUGUCCAAUCAGGGGCUGGAAGCCAUGGGAUGUGAUCAUCUUUUGGUGUUGCGAGGUGACCAAUCCUGGUCUGUGCGGGGCCAAGGCGGCACCACCAUAGGCUGAUGGUUGAUGGUGUCACUUGCUUGGGUAUAACAAAGACAAGAGCAGGAAUGGGAGGAUGCGAAGUGGGACGAGGGUGAAACUGGGCCAGGGAUUUAGCAACCUGGAGUGGAGGGAGCCAGCGUGCAGUGGGAUGGAUCCAGGGGCAGGUGGUGCCCAUGCUGGUCUGUGAUGGAGAGAAUGGGUUUAAAGCCCACUGGGCCCGGCCCGGCUCUCCAGAGCUUGUGCAACUCAAUGCAAAAAGCACCCUUUAAAACAGUCCUGAACCUCCCUUCUGCUCAGGGCCAUAGUGACACCGCGGGGCUAAAGCAUCUCCAGGUCUUCUCCUUUGUGCUCCCAGCCUGGCAGGGUGAAUGGGAAGCAGUUUCACCUCACUUGCUGCUGCUGGGGUGGCUCCUUUGGGACCUCCACAGGCUCCAGGGUGCUGUUGGUCCUGGUCACUCUCCACAUGGGUGGAGGUUCCUUUUUCAUUUGGAUCUUUGUUGUUGUGGGUGAUGAUUCCCAGCGGCAGGACUGGCUGUGCGCUCACAGCUUGGCUCUCUCUGAGGCCUUUGGGAACACGGAUGGGAACGCUCUUGCAAAGAGCUGAUUUAUGGUUUCUUUUCCUCCCUUUCUCCUCUGUUUGCUACUGGAAUACAGGAGCAAGGAGAAAGCCCAGUGUGUCGGUGUGACGUUGAUCCAAAUUGCAGCUUACAUGUGGCUGUUUAAGCUUGCUUGGACACUCUGAUUUGACUGGUUAACACUCAGCACUGUCUACUCAGUUCUCCCUUCUGGUCACAUAACUGCUGGAGACAUUAAUGGGAGAUAUGCUUGCAUAUUCUGUAUCGAGAGAUUAGCCCUCCACAUUCUUUUCCAUGCUUAGAAGCAGUGUUUGGGGAGAGGAAAAAAUGGAGCAAUACUAAUUUUUCUCUGGUUCAGUGAGUCAUUGAGAAGAACUGAAUAUACAAAUAGAAUUACUGAGAAUUAAUUUCAUUCACUGUAAUGCUUUCCUCUAGGAAAGAGCUUGCCUUUAGCUCCUGUCCUUAAUACUUGUGCCAGGCGGUGGGAAUGCAGUGGGUUGGUUUGUCGUUGAGUCCAAAGCCCCUUCCCACCACUCUGCUCAUGAACAAUGUGGGUCGGGGCAUUGCCAAACGUGCUGAAAUACUUGUGCUGGUCAAUGCUGCCAGUGGAUAUUGGAGAGGAGAAACCAUUCCUCACUUUUAUCCAUAAUAGAAGGAAAUUCUCCACUCCAAAUGGUGAGAAAUUGUUCAUUUUUCAUUUCUUUUUAAAAUCAGGAUUGAGGAAAGCAGCAAUAUCCCAACCGGAGGAAUUUUCUGCUGGCCUUAUCCACUUCUCAACUGCAAACAAAAGGAGGCCCUGAUGGCUCAAGCCCUUCGAGGUCUCCACAAAGCCCCUUUUCCUUCCCAGCAUCGCGCUCCCACCGCACGUUGGCCUGAAGCCCAUGUCCUGCAGCUCCGGGGAUGCCUCUGCCACCAGGGAGGAGCGUGGGUUCACCCUCUGUGAUGCUCGGCUCGUUUCCCAGCUGGUGAAUCCUGUCUCUGGCCCCGGUGAAUGUUCACAUGGAAUUUCCUGAUGAACGUGAAUGCAGCAGUGGAAAAUAAACCACCUCCAAAAGCCACCAGAGCCUGGCCAGUGGGACCGGUCUUGAGGGACCCUCAGCAGAAGCCCCUGACCAUGGCUGCUCCCACAUGCAUCCUCCUCCUCCUCUUCCUCUUCCUGGAGCACCACGAUGUAGAUCACGAUUUGCACCAGCAUCCCUCCAGGCUGCUUGGGGCUACUGGGGCGUCACCAUAAGGACACCAGCACCAGUCUGGGGAUGGAUGGGGUGGAGAAGACACUGGGACAUCGCCAUCCUGCUGCUGUGCAUUGGUCCUGCAUUACUGGUGAAGAACACGAGGCUGGGAGGGGAAAAGGCUCAAAGCAAGGAAAGGCAGUCUAGGAGCACAGGAAAUGUGUGUUAAUGGCUUGUGGAUGUCUCUGUCUCCCAAAUGAUGGAAUUGCUGGUGCCGGGCUGUUUUUGACAGCCUGUCUCUUCCAUGUUUUUAAAAUAUUCAUGCCCCAAAAUCUAAUUACCAGCAAAUUUCAUGCUAAUGGAGUGAAGUGACGGCGCUCCAGCAGCAGCGCGGGGCCGGCUUCGGCUUUCCUCUGCCUCCCUCCUGUUCACAUUGCUAUAAGAGAGCUGUUUCUUUCUUUCCAACUGCCUUUCUUGCAUAGAAAGCCCAACCCCAAAAGGAGGAUUGCUGACAAUAAAGCUUGGCUUGCUCAAGG